AUUGAACGCUGGCGGCAGGCCUAACACAUGCAAGUCGAACGGUAACAGGAAGAAGCUUGCUUCUUUGCUGACGAGUGGCGGACGGGUGAGUAAUGUCUGGGAAACUGCCUGAUGGAGAGGGAUAACUACUGGAAACGGUAGCUAAUACCGCAUAACGUCGCAAGACCAAAGAGGGGGACCUUCGGGCCUCUUGCCAUCGGAUGUGCCCAGAUGGGAUUAGCUAGUAGGUGGGGUAACGGCUCACCUAGGCGACGAUCCCUAGCUGGUCUGAGAGGAUGACAAGCCACACUGGAACUGAGACACGGUCCAGACUCCUACGGGAGGCAGCAGUGGGGAAUAUUGCACAAUGGGCGCAAGCCUGAUGCAGCCAUGCCGCGUGUAUGAAGAAGGCCCUCGGGUUGUAAAGUACUUUCAGCGGGGAGGAAGGGAGUAAAGUUAAUACCCUUGCUCAUUGACGUUACCCGCAGAAGAAGCACCGGCUAACUCCGUG
RNAcentral lists this ribosomal RNA (490 nucleotides) under uncultured bacterium. RNAcentral's name for it is "partial 16S ribosomal RNA". It matches the Rfam family "Bacterial small subunit ribosomal RNA", at positions 30 to 507 of the family's 1533-position model. The record is from RNAcentral.